GGUGCUUGACAUGUGCCGGAUCGCCCCGGAAACGGGGUUUCCCUUCGGGGCCGGUUCACAGGUGGUGCAUGGUCGUCGUCAGCUCGUGUCGUGAGAUGUUGGGUUAAGUCCCGCAACGAGCGCAACCCUCGCCGCAUGUUGCCAGCGGGUGAUGCCGGGAACUCAUGUGGGACCGCCGGGGUCAACUCGGAGGAAGGUGGGGAUGACGUCAGAUCAUCAUGCCCCUUACGUCCAGGGCUUCACGCAUGCUACAAUGGCCGGUACAACGCGAUGCGACACGGUGACGUGGGGCGGAUCGCUGAAAACCGGUCUCAGUUCGGAUCGCAGUCUGCAACUCGACUGCGUGAAGGCGGAGUCGCUAGUAAUCGCGGAUCAGCAACGCCGCGGUGAAUGCGUUCCCGGGUUGGAAAAACCCGAAAA
Molecule: ribosomal RNA, 420 nt
Filed under: uncultured bacterium
Lineage: Bacteria
Description: bacterial SSU rRNA
Rfam family: Bacterial small subunit ribosomal RNA
Source: RNAcentral